Molecule: ribosomal RNA, 1526 nt
Filed under: metagenome
Description: bacterial LSU rRNA
Rfam family: Bacterial large subunit ribosomal RNA
Source: RNAcentral
GAUGGGAAACAGGUUAAUAUUCCUGUACUUCUGGUUACUGCGAUGGAGGGACGGAGAAGGCUAGGCCAGCUUGGCGUUGGUUGUCCAAGUUUAAGGUGGUAGGCUGAAAUCUUAGGUAAAUCCGGGGUUUCAAGGCCGAGAGCUGAUGACGAGUCGUCUUUUAGAUGACGAAGUGGUUGAUGCCAUGCUUCCAAGAAAAGCUUCUAAGCUUCAGGUAACCAGGAACCGUACCCCAAACCGACACAGGUGGUCGGGUAGAGAAUACCAAGGCGCUUGAGAGAACUCGGGUGAAGGAACUAGGCAAAAUGGCACCGUAACUUCGGGAGAAGGUGCGCCGGCUAGGGUGAAGGAUUUACUCCGUAAGCUCUGGCUGGUCGAAGAUACCAGGCCGCUGCGACUGUUUAUUAAAAACACAGCACUCUGCAAACACGAAAGUGGACGUAUAGGGUGUGACGCCUCCCCGGUGCCGGAAGGUUAAUUGAUGGGGUUAGCGCAAGCGAAGCUCUUGAUCGAGGCCCCGGUAAACGGCGGCCGUAACUAUAACGGUCCUAAGGUAGCGAAAUUCCUUGUCGGGUAAGUUCCGACCUGCACGAAUGGCGUAACGAUGGCGGCGCUGUCUCCACCCGAGACUCAGUGAAAUUGAAAUCGCUGUGAAGAUGCAGUGUAUCCGCGGCUAGACGGAAAGACCCCGUGAACCUUUACUGUAGCUUUGCACUGGACUUUGAGCCUGCUUGUGUAGGAUAGGUGGGAGGCUUUGAAGCGUGGACGCCAGUUCGCGUGGAGCCAUCCUUGAAAUACCACCCUGGCAUGCUUGAGGUUCUAACUCUGGUCCGUAAUCCGGAUCGAGGACAGUGUAUGGUGGGCAGUUUGACUGGGGCGGUCUCCUCCUAAAGAGUAACGGAGGAGUACGAAGGUGCGCUCAGACCGGUCGGAAAUCGGUCGCAGAGUAUAAAGGCAAAAGCGCGCUUGACUGCGAGACAGACACGUCGAGCAGGUACGAAAGUAGGUCUUAGUGAUCCGGUGGUUCUGUAUGGAAGGGCCAUCGCUCAACGGAUAAAAGGUACUCCGGGGAUAACAGGCUGAUACCGCCCAAGAGUUCAUAUCGACGGCGGUGUUUGGCACCUCGAUGUCGGCUCAUCACAUCCUGGGGCUGAAGCCGGUCCCAAGGGUAUGGCAGUUCGCCAUUUAAAGUGGUACGCGAGCUGGGUUUAGAACGUCGUGAGACAGUUCGGUCCCUAUCUGCCGUGGACGUUUGAGAUUUGAGAGGGGCUGCUCCUAGUACGAGAGGACCGGAGUGGACGAACCUCUGGUGUUCCGGUUGUCACGCCAGUGGCAUUGCCGGGUAGCUAUGUUCGGAAAAGAUAACCGCUGAAAGCAUCUAAGCGGGAAACUUGCCUCAAGAUGAGAUCUCACUGGGAACUUGAUUCCCCUGAAGGGCCGUCGAAGACUACGACGUUGAUAGGCUGGGUGUGUAAGCGUUGUGAGGCGUUGAGCUAACCAGUACUAAUUGCCCGUGAGGCUUGACC